Molecule: long non-coding RNA, 1557 nt
Organism: Prosopis cineraria
Lineage: Eukaryota; Viridiplantae; Streptophyta; Magnoliopsida; Fabales; Fabaceae
Exons: 3
Source: RefSeq, a predicted model, not a curated record
UCACACCUCUGUUCUCCCGCCUUCCUUCUCCGACUUCAACUGUCGUCAGCGUCGUUGCAAGUGGCUGUUCGUCUGCAGCAGGGAGUUCUGUCAAGUUCUUGGAUUUUUCUCCUCCCCUGCGUUGUUGUCGGGUCUUCUUCUUCCUCCUCCUCCUUCAUCGCAGGCCUCCUCCUUCUUCUUUAGAUGUUGCGUUGUGCUGUGCGGUUGCCGUGGAGGGAGCUUCGACUUCUUUCCUCUGUUUUUCCUCUUCGUGCAGCUCACCAAAGGUCUCUCCCUGUUCUGCGUCGUCCUUGUUCUGGAGAUGAAAGACCAAGUAUCGCUGCAAGAGGAUUAAGUUGGAAGUAAAUUAUAUUUGGAAACUUUUCAGAUUCAUUAACUGAUGUUGGACCUCCUGUCUGUCAUUGAGGGGCCUACAACUAUGUUAGGUGAAUGUUUGUUUGUUUCUGUUUCUGUUUUUAUUUUUAUCUUAUUUUAUUUUUUGAAAUGCCUUUUCUUUAAUGUAAAUAUUUGAUUAUGUGAUUUAUUUUGAAAUUAUGUUUUAGAGGAUCCACGUUAACUAUAGAAAGAAUCCUAUUUUAUUUUAUAUAAAAAAAUGUUGAAGCUUUUAUUAUAAUGAAUAUUAUUAAGGAUGUCAGAAUUACAAUAUAAAUCCAACUAUGUUUGAAAAAUGGAAUAUUUUUUUGAUUUGAGGCUUAAGGGAUGUGUGAUAUAGUUCACAUCUCAUGCCGAUCACUCCCAUUUUUCGGGGCGUGACGCCUAUCCUCUUGUGUGGCCACUAAUUGACUUACUGAAUCAACCAUCACAAUUGCAAGAUGUUUUCCCUUCUUGUUUUAACCACUUUCACCUCUCUUUUGCUUACUUUCUGAAUUAGCACCACCACUGUAUGCAUUAUUCAAAUUAACCUGCCCAAUUUUAAGGAGAGCUCUUCCACUAAUGUUUCUCACAUCAUCACUGUCUCCUUAUCCUUCAGUCAAAUCCAAUUGAGGCCUAUACACAUCUUGCGGAUCAUCAGCCGCAAGUAUCUACAUGUAAGUGUCCCGUACUGCAACUGGCUAAAACAAUUGUGUCAAUUCUUAUACAUAUAGAAGUGCUCUAUGUCUGAAUUUCCUAUACUCAGGAUUCUCCUACACAUUUGCAAGAAUUGAGUCUAGUAUAUUUACAAAAUAAAGCAUCAAAUAUAUAGCAUGCUAUAAAUAAUUAUACAUCUUAAUCUUUUGAUUCCACCACUCCUUUGGUGCUAAUAUAGUAUUCUUUUCACUAUCUCAUUCCAGACCAAUUUCUUUGUUCAACAGUUUAUCCCAUAUAUUUUAGUCUUUCCUCAAAUUAUCCCAUUUGUUCUUCAGCUGUUUCUUAUCAUAGCUUCUAAAGUUUAAUGCAUUGAAUUGUUGCAUUAGCACUUCCCAACCUUCCUUUGAUAAAGUAGAGCCUUUACACUUUUUUUUCUAACUUGCUAGAGAGCUAAUUUAAUGAACAAUUCAGUUUCUUCAAUAGUCCAUAGUGCCUUCUCUUUACUCAUUUUUACUAUCUAAAUAUCAUAUUCUCAAUAAUCAAGUUGAA